CACCCGUUUGAGUGUCGUGAAAAUCUCAACCUUCUCGGUUUCUUCUGGACACCGAAGGAGGCUUGGACUUUGGAGGCCUUUGCUGGCGUCUCUCUCUUUUGAGAGCCAGCUCCUCUUAAAUGAAUUAGCGGGGUCCUCUUUGCUGGUCCUCGACAUGUGAUAAGAUGUUUCCAUGUCUUGGUUUCUGGCUCUGUUGCUUUUGGGACCCGCUUCUAACCGUCUCAACGAGACAAUGUUUGAGCGCGUCUCCCUUCUCGGGAGACCCUCUCGACCUCACGAACCCUUGACCUCAAAUCGGGUGAGACUACCCGCUGAACUUAAGCAUAUCAAUAAGCGGAGG
RNAcentral lists this ribosomal RNA (340 nucleotides) under uncultured Lactarius. RNAcentral's name for it is "eukaryotic LSU rRNA". The stretch from base 285 to 340 matches the Rfam family "Eukaryotic large subunit ribosomal RNA", at positions 1 to 56 of the family's 3401-position model. The record is from RNAcentral. Lineage: Eukaryota; Fungi; Basidiomycota; Agaricomycetes; Russulales; Russulaceae.